AGCAACAAUGAUGAGUUCUACAGACCUGUAAUGAUAUGCGAAUAUGAUCGCACAUCUUUUUGAACAUCUAAGGGACUGAGUUCUA
Molecule: small nucleolar RNA, 85 nt
Organism: Rosa rugosa (rugosa rose)
Lineage: Eukaryota; Viridiplantae; Streptophyta; Magnoliopsida; Rosales; Rosaceae
Product: small nucleolar RNA SNORD25
Exons: 1
Source: RefSeq, a predicted model, not a curated record